GACGAAUCUAUUGUCCGCCGAGCCCGGUCGUUACCGCGACCGGGGGAGGGCGGCGAAAAGAGGAAUCC
This is a regulatory RNA element of Curvibacter sp., 68 nucleotides long. It matches the Rfam family "ilvH RNA". The record is from Rfam. Lineage: Bacteria; Pseudomonadati; Pseudomonadota; Betaproteobacteria; Burkholderiales; Comamonadaceae.